Tupaia belangeri chinensis (Chinese tree shrew) is the source of this 909-nucleotide long non-coding RNA. RefSeq lists it as uncharacterized. The record is from RefSeq and is a predicted model, not a curated record. The transcript is spliced from 3 exons. Lineage: Eukaryota; Metazoa; Chordata; Mammalia; Scandentia; Tupaiidae.
ACAACAAGCCGGCAUGCAGCGUGUCGGCUGGGAGCAAACCGUGCAGAGGGAGCUCUGGAAGGGACCACAGCCGCAGCCUGCACCCCUGCCCUGAGAGCCCCAGCCUGGAGAGGACCCAGAACCUUCCGUCCCGCUCAGAGCAGGAGUCCAAUCUGGGCCACCCUCUCCACCGAGCCAUGAGGACCUGCUGCCCUGAUGGCCUACGGGAGACUGAGCUGAGGACCGGGACGUCCCAGGCCUCGGGGACGCUGGCAAGCCAGCUGUUGGACCUCUCGCUUGGCCACACGAACUUGAAAAAAGGAAGAAAGGAUGGAAGGAGGCAGGCGGCCGGGUCGGUGCACGUCGGGACCCUACUUCUGACCUCCUCCCCAGUUCUGACCCCCUUUUGUGUCAUGCGUCCCCAGCCUCACUUUCCUCCCUGAGCCCACACAUGGCUGCAUUGCUCAGCUGGCCAGCACUCAAGACUCUCUCCUUCCACCUGAUGUUGUGGCCAUUCACGAUGUAUCAGAGACAGAUGCUUUUUAGACCAGCCUGAGCCCCUCAGUGGCCCCCUGUGGACCCUUCUGCCUGGGCUCGCACCCUCUUCCCAGCCAUGGCGGCCAGAGCGGGCCUGGGGAGCAGAGCUGGUCGCUGGCUUGGCCGAGUCAACCACAUCCUGCAGGCUGCAUGGCUGCAUGGCCUGGCAGAGCUCAAUCCCAUUGCGGCAGCUUCUGUCCCAGGAAUCCCGUCACCCUGGCCGCUUCCCACAUGCAGCCGCGGUUACCUCAGUGCGCUGUGACCCUGUGACCGCACAGCACUGCCCUUUGAGGGGCCCUGACUCCCCUUGUUCGUGUCUUGCUGUGGCUUUUUCUGAGGCUGAGCUCAGGCAGUUGGGUCCCAGGUUGUGAGCUGCUGGGAGGGAGAAAAGAC